ACGACCUUACUUGAACAGGAUCUGUUCUAUAGGCUCGUACCACUGUAUCCUUGAUUUCUAAGGAGACAGGAAACCAAGUCUGGUUGAUGAGACAUGGCCAUUAGAUUAGAGCGUGAUUAACAAUCUCCGUGGCCUAUGGGUCAUGGAGCUGUAGAGGAUCGUUCCCAGCACGGUGCUGGGAUGGUCUAAUGGCUGUCUGACAGACU
Molecule: small nucleolar RNA, 206 nt
Organism: Solanum stenotomum
Lineage: Eukaryota; Viridiplantae; Streptophyta; Magnoliopsida; Solanales; Solanaceae
Product: small nucleolar RNA U3
Exons: 1
Source: RefSeq, a predicted model, not a curated record